Molecule: ribosomal RNA, 490 nt
Filed under: Gemella haemolysans
Lineage: Bacteria; Bacillati; Bacillota; Bacilli; Caryophanales; Gemellaceae
Description: bacterial SSU rRNA
Source: RNAcentral
GAACGGGUGAGUAACACGUAAAGAACCUGCCUYAUAGACUGGGACAACUAUUGGAAACGAUAGCUAAUACCGGAUAACAGCAUUAACUGCAUGGUUGAUGUUUAAAAGUUGGUUUUGCUAACACUAUGAGAUGGCUUUGCGGUGCAUUAGCUAGUUGGUGGGGUAAAGGCCUACCAAGGCGACGAUGCAAAGCCGACCUGAGAGGGUGAUCGGCCACACUGGGACUGAGACACGGCCCAGACUCCUACGGGAGGCAGCAGUAGGGAAUCUUCCGCAAUGGGCGAAAGCCUGACGGAGCAACGCCGCGUGAGUGAAGAAGGAUUUCGGUUCGUAAAGCUCUGUUGUUAGGGAAGAAUGAUUGUGUAGUAACUAUACACAGUAGAGACGGUACCUAACCAGAAAGCCACGGCUAACUACGUGCCAGCAGCCGCGGUAAUACGUAGGUGGCAAGCGUUGUCCGGAAUUAUUGGGCGUAAAACGCGCGCAGGUG